AGAGUUUGAUCCUGGCUCAGAACGAACGCUGGCGGCAGGCUUAACACAUGCAAGUCGAACGCACCGCAAGGUGAGUGGCAGACGGGUGAGUAACGCGUGGGAACCUUCCCUUUGGUACGGAAUAACUUCGGGAAACCGAAGCUAAUACCGUAUAUCUCCUGCGGGAGAAAGAUUUAUCGCCAAAGGAUGGGCCCGCGUUGGAUUAGCUAGUUGGUGUGGUAAUGGCGCACCAAGGCGACGAUCCAUAGCUGGUCUGAGAGGAUGAUCAGCCACACUGGGACUGAGACACGGCCCAGACUCCUACGGGAGGCAGCAGUGGGGAAUAUUGGACAAUGGGGGCAACCCUGAUCCAGCCAUGCCGCGUGAGUGAAGAAGGCCUUAGGGUUGUAAAGCUCUUUUGGCGGGGACGAUAAUGACGGUACCCGCAGAAUAAGCCCCGGCUAACUUCGUGCCAGCAGCCGCGGUAAU
This 468-nucleotide ribosomal RNA is filed under the name uncultured bacterium. RNAcentral describes it as "bacterial SSU rRNA". It matches the Rfam family "Bacterial small subunit ribosomal RNA", at positions 8 to 524 of the family's 1533-position model. The record is from RNAcentral.